UAAUACGGGGGGAGCAAGCGUUGUUCGGAUUUACUGGGCGUAAAGGGCGCGUAGGCGGCCAGCGCAAGUCAGUUGUGAAAUCUCCGAGCUUAACUCGGAAAGGUCAACUGAUACUGCGCGGCUAGAGUGCGGAAGGGGCAACUGGAAUUCUCGGUGUAGCGGUGAAAUGCGUAGAUAUCGAGAGGAACACCUGCGGCGAAGGCGGGUUGCUGGGCCGACACUGACGCUGAGGCGCGAAAGCUAGGGGAGCGAACGGGAUUAGAUACCCCGGUAGUCCUGGCCCUAAACGAUGAAUGCUUGGUGUGGCGGGUAUCGAUCCCUGCCGUGCCGAAGCUAACGCAUUAAGCAUUCCGCCUGGGGAGUACGGUCGCAAGGCUG
RNAcentral lists this ribosomal RNA (378 nucleotides) under uncultured bacterium. RNAcentral's name for it is "bacterial SSU rRNA". It matches the Rfam family "Bacterial small subunit ribosomal RNA", at positions 521 to 896 of the family's 1533-position model. The record is from RNAcentral.